GUGCCAGCAGCCGCGGUAAUACGUAGGUGGCAAGCGUUGUCCGGAUUUAUUGGGCGUAAAGCGAGCGCAGGCGGUUUCUUAAGUCUGAUGUGAAAGCCUUCGGCUCAACCGAAGAAGUGCAUCGGAAACUGGGAAACUUGAGUGCAGAAGAGGACAGUGGAACUCCAUGUGUAGCGGUGAAAUGCGUAGAUAUAUGGAAGAACACCAGUGGCGAAGGCGGCUGUCUGGUCUGUAACUGACGCUGAGGCUUGAAAGCAUGGGUAGCAAACAGGAUUAGAUACCCUGGUAGUCCAUGCCGUAAACGAUGAGUGCUAGGUGUUGGAGGGUUUCCGCCCUUCAGUGCCGCAGCUAACGCAUUAAGCACUCCGCCUGGGGAGUACGACCGCAAGGUUGAAACUCAAAGGAAUUGACGGGGGCCCGCACAAGCGGUGGAGCAUGUGGUUUAAUUCGAAGCAACGCGAAGAACCUUACCAGGUCUUGACAUCCUUUGACCACUCUAGAGAUAGAGCUUUCCCUUCGGGGACAAAGUGACAGGUGGUGCAUGGUUGUCGUCAGCUCGUGUCGUGAGAUGUUGGGUUAAGUCCCGCAACGAGCGCAACCCUUAUUACUAGUUGCCAGCAUUAAGUUGGGCACUCUAGUGAGACUGCCGGUGACAAACCGGAGGAAGGUGGGGACGACGUCAAAUCAUCAUGCCCCUUAUGACCUGGGCUACACAUGUGCUACAAUGGAUGGUACAACGAGUUGCGAGACCGCGAGGUUUAGCUAAUCUCUUAAAACCAUUUUUCAGUUCGGAUUGUAGGCUGCAACUCGCCUACAUGAAGCCGGAAUCGCUAGUAAUCGCGGAUCAGCAUGCCGCGGUGAAUACGUUCCCGGGCCUUGUACACACCGCCCGU
This 893-nucleotide ribosomal RNA is filed under the name uncultured bacterium. RNAcentral's name for it is "bacterial SSU rRNA". It matches the Rfam family "Bacterial small subunit ribosomal RNA", at positions 505 to 1397 of the family's 1533-position model. The record is from RNAcentral.